UGGGGAAUAUUGCGCAAUGGGCGAAAGCCUGACGCAGCGACGCCGCGUGAGGGAUGAAGGUUUUCGGAUCGUAAACCUCUGUCAGAAGGGAAGAAACCGCACUGUGCUAAUCAGCAGUGCCUUGACGGUACCUUCAAAGGAAGCACCGGCUAACUCCGUGCCAGCAGCCGCGGUAAUACGGAGGGUGCAAGCGUUAAUCGGAAUUACUGGGCGUAAAGCGCACGUAGGCUGCUUUGUAAGUCAGGGGUGAAAUCCCACGGCUCAACCGUGGAACUGCCUUUGAGACUGCUUAGCUUGAAUCCGGGAGAGGGUGGCGGAAUUCCAGGUGUAGGAGUGAACUCCGUAGAUAUCUGGAGGAACAUCAGUGGCGAAGGCGGCCACCUGGACCGGUAUUGACGCUGAGGUGCGAAAGCGUGGGGAGCAAACAGG
Molecule: ribosomal RNA, 429 nt
Filed under: Fusobacteriota bacterium
Lineage: Bacteria; Fusobacteriati; Fusobacteriota
Description: Fusobacteria bacterium partial 16S ribosomal RNA
Rfam family: Bacterial small subunit ribosomal RNA
Source: RNAcentral